Molecule: long non-coding RNA, 1225 nt
Organism: Neocloeon triangulifer
Lineage: Eukaryota; Metazoa; Arthropoda; Insecta; Ephemeroptera; Baetidae
Exons: 4
Source: RefSeq, a predicted model, not a curated record
UUCAUCAACGCGCACAACAUUCUUUCCUCUUUUAUUAUUGUCAAAUUAUUAUAAUAUAUUUAUCCUCAGACAAUGCCCCUCCAGCACGAUUUAUUUCCUUUCUCUCUCCUUAUUUUCCUUCGUCCUUUCUUCUGGUCAAAAUUGUGUAUUUUUAUUUUUUAUUAUUAUAUUUUUCAAGUGAAAAAGUCAACCGUCGCGCGAAUUCCAGGAGCUUGAAGUGGAAUUCGGGCAGGUGAGCGAUGGACCUGCGGUCUCGCGGGCCGGGCCCUGCACGACGAGCCGCGGGGGGCGGCCUACCCCCGCAGGACGCUCCGAGUGCAGCGGGGGUCCUCGGCGGGGCCCGAAAUUCUUCGCCGAUGAUAAGUGACGUCCAGCAUCGGGCACCGCACGCACACACCUUGACACAGCAGUCGAAUUUUUUACGGCGCCUCUAAUUGUGAUCAGGACCAGCCUAAUGAUCGAGGUGCCUUUUUUAUUCAUAUACUCUCCCAUUCAUAGAAAUUUUCAGCCGGACCACUGUGGAGAGAUACGCGCCGAGCCUCUGUUUGUUUUCAUUCCUCUGACAGAGGAAAAAGAAAAAUGACUCCAGAGAUCGUCUUGUAGUGCGUUGUGGCGUGCUGAGAAGCGCAGAGGACCAUAACUCACACAGGGAGCAGAGUUUUAGUCAGGAGCGCCGCGGGGUGCUGCGACUUGCGGAGAUGCGCGUGCAAGAUGCAUCGAAACGGCGAAAUUCUAAAACGGGUUCCUCUGUGGUUUGCCGAGAGAGCGCCAUUUUCAGCGCCGGUAGCAGCGUUGUAUUCGCGGUGACCCGUUGACCCCCGCGUUAUUAUCUGCGCGCAACCAUCUCCGCAUAUAUGCACUCCCGACCAGCAGACGAAAUGGGCAGCGUCAGCGAAGGCAAAAGAAUAAUAUAAGCAUCCAAUGGCGCCACCAUUUAUUUUGCAUGACUUAUGUAUGAGGCCAAGUUGUUGCUUGAUGCGACAUACAAAAGCAUAUUCAAAGGACAAAUCUUCUGGUCAGUUAUUUGUCUGCUCACAGAAAUUUGGCUUUUUUUUAAAUAUGUAAUUCCCCUCUUCUCAUGGAUUCCUCUGCUUCUUUAUAGCUGGGACCACAUCUAUUUACUAAUCAAUAGUUGUUAAAUAGCUAUGCAUAUUUUUUAGACAAACGAUUUUAAAGAAAACAAUGUUCUUGUUCCUAACAUUAUGAAAUUUUUAAUUUUAUGAAU